Eriocheir sinensis (Chinese mitten crab) is the source of this 1679-nucleotide long non-coding RNA. RefSeq lists it as uncharacterized. The record is from RefSeq and is a predicted model, not a curated record. The transcript is spliced from 3 exons. NCBI's taxonomy places the organism in Eukaryota, Metazoa, Arthropoda, Malacostraca, Decapoda, Varunidae.
UAUUAUUAUUAUUAUUAUUAUUAUUAUUAUUAUUAUUAUUAUUAUUAUUAUUAUUAUUAUUAUUAUUUUUAUUGGUGUUGGUAUGUUAUUGUUUGUGUUGAGAUUUACAAGCGAAUACUCUUCCUCUUCAGUGGUGGCCGCGCGGCAGAGGGAGAGCGGGGUGCCUACUGAUCAAGUCUUGCAGUGCUCUUCGUUUUAGUGUUGUUUGGUUACUUCACGCUGCUCUUCAGGGAAACACUGACGAAGCCCUCAAAGAGUCCUUCAGUCGUCUGUCUCGGAGUCCCUGGCCAGGAUGCCGUGCUGGUCCAGAAUGGCCAGCCCCGGCUCAGUCUUAAGGGUGAUGCGGUGGUCUGAGUGGUCGAUGGAGGCCAGCGUUGGGGUCUGACCGAUGUCCAGCUCACCGCCCAGACCCUCGCCCCCGAUGGACACAGAUGGGGAGGAGUUGCUGAUCAGGAUGCUCUUCUCACUCUGAAUGGAGGAGAAACAGUUGGCAAAAAGGAAGAAGCUCGAUGCAUAACGAGAGAGAAUGGGAGAGACACCUAAAAAGAGAAAAGAGGAGAGCAAGAGAGAACAAGAUUAGUGUCCAAGAGAGAAGGGAGGAAAACGUAUAUACUAUGGAUUUCAGAGGCCGUGUUCCCUCAUUUUUUUGGAAUAACUAAAACAGUGUUGGAUCAGAUUCUUUCAAACCUCCUGCUAAUUUUUGCCUCCAUUGUUUAUUAACACAAGUGAAUGAUUUAAGGCAUUUCCCUUCUAAACACAACGUGAAAUUCGGUGUCAAAGAGCUGUCCUCCAGCAUGAAUGUAUUGUGACAUCACUCCCUGGGCUACGCCCCAUAGUUACCUUCCACUUUGCUGACACGCAGUAAAUAAAAACUGAAUGCAAGUAACAGGACAGGAAUUAUGAAGAAUUGAAUUAGAAAAGAGAAAAUAUUUAUCCACUACUCUAUGCACAUGAUAAUUUAUGUAACAAUAUCUUGCUUUAAGAAAUGUCUUGAUGGCUUCGUGUCAGUACGUGAGCUGGGUCCAAAACAGUGUAUGGAUGUUCACUUGACAUAAACUUACAGGAGUAGACAACAGCUGAAGCAAGAAAACCAAGAGGGACUGUUUAUUAAGUAUUUUAUUUUGCUCUCUAUAUCUUACUAUAUGUAGAGUUUGCCAUUUCCUGCUGCGAGGAACGUGGCAUGGGAAGGCUGCCUGCAUGGAGGUUCGCCUGGGGAAACCUUUGUGAGUGGUGUCAUAGGGUGGGCAAGACACUGCUCUGCCACAGCUUAUGCACCAAUUGAUUGACUGAGUGAUCCAAUUUUUAGGCUUCAUGUGCAUUCUAAAUAUCAUUAUGAUAUCUUGAUAACGCUGGAUAAAGACAGUAAUGUUCUUAGUGGCAGGAACACCGGUAUCACCUGUCAGUGAGGUGAGGGUAACUAUGGGGCGGAGCCUAGGGAGUGACGUCACAGCGACAUCACAAUACAUUCGUGCUGGAGGACAGGUCUUCGACGUGGAACUUUGUUACUUAUAGAAGAGAGGUGCCUUAAUUAUUCACUUUUGUUAAUAAAUGACAGCGACAAAAAUUAGCAGGAGGUCUGAAACAAUCUGAACCUGAUCCAACACUUUGAAGAGUUAUUCCUGAAAAAGGAGGGAACAUGGCCUCUGGAGCUCAUAGCAAAUGCGGGGGCAUCACGGCAA